GUGCCAGCGCGGUAAGACGUAAGGGCGCGAGCGUUGUCCGGAUUUAUUGGGCGUAAAGAGCUCGUAGGUGGCUUGUCGCGUCGACUGUGAAAACCCGCGGCUACAACCGCGGGCCUUGCAUUCGAUACGGGCAGGCUAGAGUUCGGUAGGGGAGACUGGAAUUCCUGGUGUAGCGGUGAAAUGCGCAGAUAUCAGGAGGAACACCGAUGGCGAAGGCAGGUCUCUGGGCCGAUACUGACGCUGAGGAGCGAAAGCGUGGGGAGCGAACAGG
This 271-nucleotide ribosomal RNA is filed under the name uncultured bacterium. Its description in RNAcentral is "partial 16S ribosomal RNA". It matches the Rfam family "Bacterial small subunit ribosomal RNA", at positions 505 to 776 of the family's 1533-position model. The record is from RNAcentral.